UUCCCUUCUCCCUCAUGCGCGACCAAACCCCUUCCGAUUUUUAUUUUUUCUCCAACUGUCGUCCUUCUCGUCGCCGACCUUGACCGCCAGCCCAAAUUCGAGCAAUGACUAGCCCAGAUCUAACUUCGACCUCUUCGCGUCUCAGCCGUUCGCGUCGCCCAGAUCCAACUUCGGCCUCCCACGCCGAAGUCGCGAGUCCUUCCGCUGCUCGACUUGUUGUGCCAACGCCUGCACCAGCUGCGACCUCGAGCGUUCCCCCUUUUCUCUUCAGCUUAUCGCCGACCGGAGCCUCCACCAGUCAGCCACAUUUGUCCAGCGCCGCCCAGCCCCUGCCAUUGUUGUAGUUGCCGUCAGAUUUGUUCUGGUUGGAUUUUGAAGUCGAGUUUUGGAGAAGCUUGAAAGUCAAAGGGGCGCCGUCAAGGAAGGUGGAAGUAGUUUCGCCAUUGGGUAAAGGUAGAGAUGCACCGACGAUGGACAAGCAGAAUUCGUGAUCGAGCCACUGGGACUAGUUUUAUGCUUCCGCUCAUGAGACUUAGAUUUUCUUUCAUGUUUUGCUAAAUUUUUAGUUUUGAUGUUUGAAACCUAUUAUUAAUAAUUGUUUCUCAGACUUAUUUAUGUAUUUAUGAUUUAUGGGUACCCUAUUGUUAUUUUUAAAAUUCGCAUUUAAUAAAGAACU
Molecule: long non-coding RNA, 676 nt
Organism: Benincasa hispida (wax gourd)
Lineage: Eukaryota; Viridiplantae; Streptophyta; Magnoliopsida; Cucurbitales; Cucurbitaceae
Source: RefSeq, a predicted model, not a curated record